CCUACGGGAGGCAGCAGUGAGGAAUAUUGGUCAAUGGACGAGAGUCUGAACCAGCCAAGUAGCGUGAAGGAUGACUGCCCUAUGGGUUGUAAACUUCUUUUAUAUGGGAAUAAAAUGUUCCACGUGUGGGAUUUUGUAUGUACCAUAUGAAUAAGGAUCGGCUAACUCCGUGCCAGCAGCCGCGGUAAUACGGAGGAUCCGAGCGUUAUCCAGAUUUAUUGGGUUUAAAGGGAGCGUAGGUGGAUUGUUAAGUCAGUUGUGAAAGUUUGGGGCUCAACCGUAAAAUUGCAGUUGAAACUGGGAGUCUUGAGUACAGUAGAGGUGGGCGGAAUUCGUGGUGUAGCGGUGAAAUGCUUAGAUAUCACGAAGAACUCCGAUUGCGAAGGCAGCUCACUGGACUGCAACUGACACUGAGGCUCGAAAGUGUGGGUAUCAAACAGGAUUAGAUACCCCGGUAGUC
RNAcentral lists this ribosomal RNA (460 nucleotides) under uncultured bacterium. Its description in RNAcentral is "partial 16S ribosomal RNA". It matches the Rfam family "Bacterial small subunit ribosomal RNA", at positions 338 to 795 of the family's 1533-position model. The record is from RNAcentral.